This 64-nucleotide transfer RNA is filed under the name Protohermes concolorus. Its description in RNAcentral is "tRNA-Glu". The record is from RNAcentral. Lineage: Eukaryota; Metazoa; Arthropoda; Insecta; Megaloptera; Corydalidae.
UAUCUUUAUUUAUAUAGUUUAAAAAAAACAUUACAUUUUCACUGUAAAAAUAAAAUUUAUUUUU